Molecule: ribosomal RNA, 392 nt
Filed under: uncultured bacterium
Lineage: Bacteria
Description: bacterial SSU rRNA
Rfam family: Bacterial small subunit ribosomal RNA
Source: RNAcentral
GUGUCAGCAGCCGCGGUAAGACGAAGGAUGCAAGCGUUAUCCGGAUUCAUUGGGUUUAAAGGGUGCGUAGGCGGACUGAUAAGUCAGUGGUGAAAUCUCUCAGCUUAACUGAGAAACUGCCAUUGAUACUGUCGGUCUAGAGUACAGAUGAUGUGGGCGGAAUAUGACAUGUAGUGGUGAAAUACUUAGAUAUGUCAUAGAACACCGAUUGCGAAGGCAGCUCACAAAACUGUAACUGACGCUGAGGCACGAAAGUGCGGGGAUCAAACAGGAUUAGAUACCCUGGUAGUCCGCACCGUAAACGAUGAUUACUCGUUGUUGGCGAUAUGACAGUCAGCGACCAAGCGAAAGCGAUAAGUAAUCCACCUGGGGAGUACGCCGGCAACGGUGAA